RNAcentral lists this ribosomal RNA (396 nucleotides) under uncultured bacterium. Its description in RNAcentral is "partial 16S ribosomal RNA". It matches the Rfam family "Bacterial small subunit ribosomal RNA", at positions 523 to 918 of the family's 1533-position model. The record is from RNAcentral.
AUACGUAGGGGACAAGCGUUAUCCGGAUUUACUGGGUGUAAAGGGAGCGUAGGCGGCCAGCCAAGUCAGAAGUGAAAUCCCACGGCUCAACUGUGGGCGUGCUUUUGAAACUGGAGGGCUUGAGUACUGGAGGGGCAAGCGGAAUUCCUGGUGUAGCGGUGAAAUGCAUAGAUAUCAGGAAGAACACCGGAGGCGAAGGCGGCUUGCUGGACAGAGACUGACGCUGAGGCUCGAAGGCGUGGGGAGCAAACAGGAUUAGAUGCCCAGGUAGUCCACGCGGUAAACGAUGAAUGCUAGGUAUUGGGCUCCAUAGGGGUUCGGUGCCGCAGUUAACGCAAUAAGCAUUCCACCUGGGGAGUACGUUCGCAAGAAUGAAACUCAAGUGAAUUGUCGGGG